UGUUGCCCAGAUAGACAACCCAAGAGGGGGGGUGAAUUGGGUUUUAAAAUAAUUUAGCUAUUUAAAACGUUGUGAAUGACUAAUUAAAACUAUUGCAAGUUGUUUAAUUAAUUGCUAUGUGCUGUGAGUGAUAUGAGAGGAAGAAGAAGAGAGACAAUCAAUCACAAACAUCAAGUUUUAUAAUAGUUCGGAGCUAACCCUUGCUCCUACGUCCACUCCCCAAGUCUCACUUGGGAAUUCACUAUAACCCCCUUGGAUUACAGCCGGUUGUUUUCCAAGCUCACAACCAAACUUGUUGUUUUACGAGCUCACAACGAACUCGGUCGGUUUUCCCAGGCUCACCGACUAGAACCACCCCGAUUGUUUUCCCGGGAUCAUAAUCGAACCCUUACACACGUUGGUUUUACACUCGGCUCACCAACCAACCUCAAUACCCUUGAUUCAAUCUCCCGAUUGAACCAAGCAGAUACAAGUUGUAAAUAAAAUAGACAAACAGAAAACUAAGCUUCUCAAAAGCAGAUGGAAAACAAUAUAAUCUGAAAAGAGUUUAGAAGCCCUCAAACGCUUUUAAGUUGGAGAAGAGGAAUGGCUUCUUAAACUUCGGGUCUCCUCUUGAAUGUGUAGUCGACUUGAAUGCAGGAGGAGGAUUCUUUAAUUGCUGGGAAGAUGUAGGUGGAUGCAGUUAAUGCAGCUCUUCC
RNAcentral lists this long non-coding RNA (698 nucleotides) under Phoenix dactylifera (date palm). Its description in RNAcentral is "long non-coding RNA (PDAC_LNC007710)". Lineage: Eukaryota; Viridiplantae; Streptophyta; Magnoliopsida; Arecales; Arecaceae. The record is from RNAcentral.